AAAGAGUUCGCUCAAAAGUUGGCUCAAGCCACCACUUUACAGUAGAUUUUCAGCAUAGUUCGCUUGAGGCAACUUGAGUUAGCUUGAGCGGACUGAAGGCGGUCUUAACUACUUCAGCAUGAAGAAAGGUUCGCUCGAGCCAACUUAGCUUGGCUUGAGCCAACUAAGGUCGGCCAGAAACUCUAUAAAAGGACAGACCACGAAAUUUUCAAUAUCUCUUCCAUUUUUUCCUCCCUAAAACAUUCAUAGGAGGCUGGGCUUCAUGGGGGAAGGGUCCCUGGGUCUAGGAUUGACAGAUUGAAGCUCCGGAGCGUGGCGACGACCGCCGAAGGACCGUGACAACCUCUCGGAGGCGAUGGAAAGCUUGGGAAAGCUUCGAUCGCCGUAGAUCCUUCGCCGUUCUUCUGGGUUUCAUCUCUUCUUCCUUAUCCCUUGUACAUGUUGUUUCUAUUUUUGUAUUUAGGAUGUUAUAACUUGAUGCUUUGACUGUUGUAAGCUCUUUUCAUGAAUGUAAAUGAUAAUAUUUCAUGUAUGAUGUUUCUUUCUAUGCUUCAUGCUUCUAACCAAUCAAUUGAUAGUCAAAUGAGCUUCACUAAUUUGUAAAUAGAUCGAGAGGUUGAUAUGAGUUGGUGAAUGCUUAGAUAAAUGAAAGUAGAGCGCCUAUGUCUUAGGUCACAACACUGUGUUAAAGUUUUACUUUCUUCGCUUCAAGUAUCGAUUGAUUUGCGUUUGAUUUCCAAGGACUAGCAUAAGAUCGGGAGAUAAUUGCGGGUCCGGUUCAAGAGAGAAACCACUCAAUGGACUAGUUGUCUUAAGGUUAGAAUAUCUUGGGUAGGAACGAUAGUGGACUUCCACGUGACAGGUGUGUUUCUGAGUUCUAGCAGGAGUUUCCGGAGUGACAACGGAGAUUCGACAACCUAGGGUACCUUGUCUUAGGAUGAAUCAGUCAUUGGGAAUGUCUUUGAGAGAGGAUUUGAGCUUUAGUGUUCUUUUUGGGUUUUCUAGAUGGUAAGAGAUUACGUCUAGGAAUUCCAACUGAUAGAUUCACCUAGACUAGGGAUAGUUAGGUGGAUCACUCUCGGCAAUCAUAAGUGAAAUGUACCUUUACAGAAGUGAUUGAGUGGAAACAAUUAGAGGAUUAAGGGAAUGCAUUCUAAAUAUGUUUUCUUCUUUGUUGUCCCUGUAAACAUUCUUUUACCGCUUUCCUUAUAUUAAAAACCACAAAAACAGUUUUAUCAAACAUAUUUUCAUCUGCUCAAAUCAAUAUUUAACUGGUGGAACUGAUGUUCACACAAUCCCUGAGGACGAUAAACCCGUAUCUGCUUUACUAUGAUUGAAUCAUAAAGGUUUAGCCAAAAGCAGUACAAACAACAAGGAAAAAUCCUUUAUCAAAUUUGGCGCCGUUGCCGGGGAUUGUGUUUGAAAUGUUGGUGAAACUAGUGGAAUGUUGAUUUGAGUUGUAAGAAAUGUAAAUAAUGUACAUAUUCAAUGUUUUGUUCUUAUGUGUCAAUUUCACUGAUUUGUUCUCGUUCUUAAUGCUAGUUGUAGCCUGAUCACCUAUAACAUGAUUUGAGAUUUGAAAUUCUUUGAAUCUGACCUAGAAUGAAUCAGCUAGUGAAUCUAAUCUCGAUUAGGUCAUUAGUCAUGAAAUGAUGAUUUUGAUACAUAGGUUUGUUUUGUAUAUGUGAAUUGUACAUAUUUGUUGUUUUCUUAUUCUUGUUUUCCUGUUUUUGUUUUUAAAUUCCCUAAGGAUUCCUCACUUUUGGUUCUUGAGUGAUCUUUUGCAAGUUUACAUGAUGAAUAUCCUCUUUUGAGUUAUUUGAAUCACAAUAGAACCAUAAGUUUUGGAAACCAUGAGUUUUUGAUGUAUUUUUAGAACUAGGAUAGUGAUUUUGUGAAGUUAUGCCAAAACUUGAGUUUUUAUGAGCUUCACAAAUUUUAUCCAGCAUAUGAAGAUUGUUCAAUGAGUUUGGAUACAACAAAUGUGAUCAAAUCAAAUUUUGGGGGUGUGACUUGUUGAAUUUGUAUGUGGGAUGGAAUGUGAAUUGGAUUAUGUGCUUUUGAUUCUAACAAUCUGCAAUUGAGACUUGACACAGGUCCAAAAUAGUGUUUUUCAUGCAUAGGGAGGAAUGGAAAGCAAGGAUGGUAAAUAUUGCAAAAUUUGAGGUAUAAGGUUGUGUUAAAAUGGAAGAAAGUCAUGCCUUUAAGUGAAUUUUCUGAACAAUUAUGCAGGUUGCUCUCCAAGACCUUUGAAUUUUCUCAUGUUCAAUGUUAGUUUAGUAUAUUUAUGCAUUGUGUUUUGUGUAUUGUUGUUUUGGUUUGUUAAAUUUCAAGCUUGGUUUGAUUUUAGCACUUUGCAGCUCUUGAGGUUUCAGUUUUUAGUUUUAUGAACUGAGUUUUUGAUCUUGUGGAUUCAAUGUCUAAAUGCUAGAUUUUAAGAUUUCCACAAGUUUUCCUUGAUGAUUAUAUCAUGUUCAAUCAAGUUUGGGGUAAAUUUUUAGCAUGGAUUGGUUUUUGGGGUAUGGAGUUGUGAAAUACCUGAGAAAUUCCCUGGAAUCCUGUCAAAUCUGCAUAAUUCUCUUGUAGUUCGCUCAAGCCAACAUACAGUUCGCUCAAGCGAACACUUAUCAACCCUUAGGCGAACUUGACUUCAUGAUUCUGGAAAAACAUGGCUUGAGCAAACUCUAAGCCAACACAACUUUGUUCAAGUGACUACAACUUUGCUCAAGCCAAGUACUUGCCCAGAAAAUGCAUCUUCCACUGGAAAAGGUUCAUGAUGAUAUUUACAUUUAGCUUGAGGACAGUCCAUAUCUCUUGGAGGGGAUGAGAGCUUUGAUGAGCAACCUUGGACUAAAUGCAAAGCAUCAUGAGGGAGUACUUUUUGUCCUUCUUUCUUUUGUUUUUAAUAUCUUAUUAGCAUUUUGGUAUAUAUAUUAAUUAACACUUUAUGUAGAUUUCAUCGAUAGCUGACUGGUUUUAACUGGCAUGGUUAAUGAAACAUCAAUAUAAUUGCAUGAUAUGCUUUUAAAUGCAAUUUGAAUUGUUUGAUUCCUUGAUUUAAUUGGUGUUUGCACUCAGAGAUAGCAUGACUUGAUAUGAUUGUAUGAUUCACAUGAAAUUCAUAGGCAUAACAUGAAAUUUUUUGAAAAUCAGGGAAUGCUUUGAAUCCAAACCAAUAUGAGGGAGUGUUCCUAAACACUUGUGAGCUGAGAGAUUCCUCAUUGUGUUGCAUGAUUGGUUUUGUUUGAGUCUCUGAUUAUCAUUGUUGUAUGCAAUUUCUUGGAAAUGAUCAAGGCAUAUUUUGUUCGGUAUAUACAGCCACUUAGCCAUAUAACCUACCAUUUACAUUUUAAUUCCAUUGUUAGCCCUUUUGAGCCUGGAAAAUAAUAUUUUUGUGAUUUGUUCGUGUUUAUAACCUUGAGCCUUAAAAGAAAAACAAUGAUCUGACCAAAGCUGAAUGGGUUAAGAGAGUAUCUGUUCAUAAUAUGGUUGUAUUCAAGUUGGGGGGAGAAGGCUAGUUGUGCUAUUUUUGUGUGGUUUGUGUAUCAAUCUAUUUGUACAUACUUGAAAGUGAAAAUCUAUAAACUAUAUAAAGGGAGAGUUUUUAUAGCCUUGGGGGUAAAUCUGUCAAUCAACAAAUAAUUUCAAAGACUAUGAAGCUUGACCAUGGAUAUUUUGGUAAAGAUGCAUUUUAUUUCACUUGGAUUGAAUCUCAGCCGUCCAUUUCAUAACAAUCUCAUUGUCUUUCUACAUUCUCAAAUGCAUUCACUAAACUUAAUUGUCAAAAUCAAUGCAUUCAUUUAUAUGGGGUCCUAAAUACCUUUGAAGAAACCUUUAAUAUUCUUCAGUUUUUUUAAACAUUUCAUCUUCUUCAAAGCUUAAACUACAUGUAUAAAUAGCCCUUUGCUCCAUACAUUUUUUUGCCAGUUUUCUUACCUUUAUCUUUGCUUUUUAUUUGGUUUAUAGUAGAUUCGGACAUAUGCGUUUCAAGCUUGAUCAAACUCUCAAAUGGCGAAUGACUUUUCAUUGUACUUUUUUGCUUUUUCCUUCUAUUAUAUCAUUUCUUUGUCUUUUGCCAAUUUUUUAAAAAGUGAGUGUGUCUGUCAACGUUUGAGCUUCUAAUUUAGAAUAUCAUAAUUUGGUUUUUGUUAAUUUCAGGUUCAAACUGUGCGAGUGGAGAAGAUGAUAGAUUAGAUUGUUAUGAGGGGAACAAGUAAAAGGAUGAUGGCAUGGUGAAGAUUUGAAAGAUUUAAUCUUGAUUGUCCAAAGUUUUAUGUAAUGUUUCAGGAAUGGCCAAAAGGUUCAUUAGAGGAGACUGUGCAAAACGCCAUAAAAUCAUGGGAGAUGGAGCUUUCACACAAAACCCGCUUGAAGAUUUUAGAACCAUAAAUCCUGAAAAGUUCAAGCUCUUUGUUAAUGGAAAUUAAUUAACCACAUGUUGUCUCAGAUUAUUUGAUUUUUUUUCAUGAGUUAAUUGAGUACAUUUUCGUCGGACUAAUUUGAUUGUCCUCUAUGUUCACAUGAUUUUGGAUGUCAUAGGAUCAAAGUUUCAGAACUCUUUGAGGUUCUGGUUUAUCCAAAAAGAGAUCACAAAAGACAAAGAGAACCUCCUCAAUUUUUAAUUUCUUUAUGCAUAAGAGUACAACUCCUUAAUAUUUUAAUUUCUUUAAUUCAGAGUUGGAGGUUGAUAUUUGUUUACAUAACCUCUUCUAAAUAAAAUCAAAUAAGCUUUUCUAAACGGAGCUUUAAUCUACUUUCUGCAAUUUUACCUUCUUGCACUUUUUUGAUAGACAUAGAACAAUACAAAUUCAACUUGCUGCCAUCUUCGAGCAAGCUAAACAUUUUCAUAAUAGGAAAGAUCUGCAGCUUAAAGAUCUGCAAACGGUGAAGGGCAAGAUCGUUUUCUCCAACUGUGGUAAGAACCAUUCUUCUAAUUUUUUUUUACCAUUUGUUUUGUGGAAAACAAAGCGAGAGGGAAGAAAUCCACAAAGAGCAAGAUCGUUCUCUCCAACUGUGGAGUGGGAAAGGGAAAGGUCUAAGCCAGGUGGUACGACUCCCAUUGAAGAGGACAAAGAGGGGGGAAGAGAAAGAAGUGGAAGAAGAAAAGGAUGAUUCUGAGAAGCAGGACAAAAAUAGUAUGCUAUAAACAUUAUGUUAUUGCAUCAGAAAGUUUGAGCUUUCUUGGUUUGUCUAGGCACCAUUACAAUGUAUCAAACAUAUUCAAUAUUAAUUGAUUUAUUCAUGGUGAAUUGACAAAGAUACAACUUUAUUA
Molecule: long non-coding RNA, 5272 nt
Organism: Lotus japonicus
Lineage: Eukaryota; Viridiplantae; Streptophyta; Magnoliopsida; Fabales; Fabaceae
Exons: 4
Source: RefSeq, a predicted model, not a curated record